GACGAACGCUGGCGGCGUGCUUAACACAUGCAAGUCGAACGGAAAGGCCCUGCUUUUGUGGGGUGCUCGAGUGGCGAACGGGUGAGUAACACGUGAGUAACCUGCCCUUGACUUUGGGAUAACUUCAGGAAACUGGGGCUAAUACCGGAUAGGAGCUCCUGCUGCAUGGUGGGGGUUGGAAAGUUUCGGCGGUUGGGGAUGGACUCGCGGCUUAUUAGCUUGUUGGUGGGGUAGUGGCUUACCAAGGCGAUGACGGGUAGCCGGCCUGAGAGGGUGAGCAGCCACACGAGAAAGGAGACACGGUACAGACGCCGAAGGGAGGCAGAAGGGGGGAAUAUUGUACAAUGGGCGCAAGCCGGAUCCAGCCAGCCCGCGUGGGUGAAGAAGGCCUUCGGGUUGUAAAACCCUUGUGUUGGGAAAGAAAAGCAGCAGGUGAAUACCCCGCUGUGCAGGCGGGACCCAAAGAAUAAGCACCGGCUAACGUCGUG
This 488-nucleotide ribosomal RNA is filed under the name uncultured bacterium. RNAcentral describes it as "partial 16S ribosomal RNA". It matches the Rfam family "Bacterial small subunit ribosomal RNA", at positions 28 to 507 of the family's 1533-position model. The record is from RNAcentral.